GGGGAUAUAGCUCAGUUGGUAGAGUACUUGCCUUGCAUGCAUAAGGCCCUGGGUUCAAUCCCCAGCACCACCA
This 73-nucleotide transfer RNA is filed under the name Urocitellus parryii (Arctic ground squirrel). Its description in RNAcentral is "Spermophilus parryii (Arctic ground squirrel) tRNA". It matches the Rfam family "tRNA". Rfam says of the family: Transfer RNA (tRNA) molecules are approximately 80 nucleotides in length. Their secondary structure includes four short double-helical elements and three loops (D, anti-codon, and T loops). RNAcentral also lists the same sequence under 3 other names. Lineage: Eukaryota; Metazoa; Chordata; Mammalia; Rodentia; Sciuridae. The record is from Rfam by way of RNAcentral.